Molecule: ribosomal RNA, 182 nt
Filed under: uncultured bacterium
Lineage: Bacteria
Description: partial 16S ribosomal RNA
Rfam family: Bacterial small subunit ribosomal RNA
Source: RNAcentral
CCCGACUCCAUGAAGCUGGAUUCGCUAGUAAUCGCGCAUCAGCCACGGCGCGGUGAAUACGUUCCCGGGCCUUGUACACACCGCCCGUCAAGCCAUGGAAGCCGGGAGUGCCUGAAGUACGCGACCGCAAGGAGCGUCCUAAGGUAAAACCGGUGACUGGGGCUAAGUCGUAACAAGGUACC